Long non-coding RNA from Equus caballus (horse), 5682 nucleotides. RefSeq lists it as uncharacterized. NCBI's taxonomy places the organism in Eukaryota, Metazoa, Chordata, Mammalia, Perissodactyla, Equidae. The record is from RefSeq and is a predicted model, not a curated record.
GGGGAGAAAAAGAAAAACAAAACAGAUUGGCGAGUUGUUAGCUCAGGAGCCAAUAUUUAAAAAAAAAAAACACGGGAAUUUCAAGAAGGUGACAGAAGAACCUUAAGCCAAGUGCGGGGCCCUUCUGAAUGUUGGGCCUGUAUAACCGCACAGGUCAUACACCCACGAAGCAGGCCCUGCCUGCAAACACAGCUCCUACACAAGUGUUUCUCCAAGGAUUGUCACUCAACCACUUGCCUCAGAAUCACCUGGGUUACCUGGCUAAAGCACAGACUCCUGGGCUCAUGGAAUCAGAGCUUUAGUGGGUGGUGACCAGGAAUUUGCAUUCUAGGCAACACUCCAGGUGAUGUGGAUGUACAGUAGUUUGAAAACCACUUCCUGACCACUUGGACUCACUAAGAUGCCUGGGCUAUUUCUGGAAACUAUAUACAUAUACCAAAUGACCAGAAACAGCUAAGUACGAACCAUUAAAUUGUGUGUUCAGUGAGUAGAGACUGGAAUUCCAGCAGAAAUUCCUGGCUCUUAGUCAUGGUCCUAAAUACUUCAGACAGAUACCAUUGUACUGUUGACCAUUGCAGUUGUAUGAAGUCUAGGUGGGAGGCCUAGAUUCCAGCUGAAGGUGCUUCUAAAAUCUCAGAGUUGGAUUUCUUAAAGCCUGCUACCAGCCACCAAGUCCAUGCUUAGAACAGUGUCACCAGGUCCUUCCAAUAUUGACAGAUGACUAACACCAAGUGAAAACCUUCAGGCAGCAUCUAUUUCUAAAGAAGUCUGCAUCACCAAUAACGCAGUCCUCAACUUUGCUGCACAACAUAGCAGGUGCCCACCUUAAGGAGCUGACGCCACAUCUGUGCACGGAUUUAGGUUCUUUCCCGGCACAGAUGUCUUUAUUAUUACAAAAGAAACUGCUCAAAUAUCUCACAAUAUCUUUCACAAUUUUAACCUAAAACAUGAUAUUGCCUUUCGGGAGGAGUGUGAAAUUUGUGAUAAAUUUUCAGUAAGUCAUUAUAUUCAUAAAUUAGGGAUAGAGAUGGAGUUUGGGAUUCUAUAACUUUCAUGGCAAUAAAGAAAAGAGCAUGCAAAAUAUUAUACAAAGGUGAUUCUAACUUUCCUGCUCUGGAGAGAAUCUAUUUUGAAUAAAAUCUCUAUACUUUAAAAGGCGAUUAUGCUGCUCUCUAUGUACGAAAUUUAAAACCACUUUUACUUUUUGACUACCUAUACUUCCAAAGCAAUUUGCAGAAGGUAAUUAAACUUAAACUUUAAAUCAUGUGGGUAUCAUUUCCCUGAAAGUUUCAAAAUGAACCACAGAGACUUUCGUGAUCUGAAUGCCAAGAUAAAACACAAAAGCCACCAGCCAGAGUAUUUCUUUACAACCAUAUCCUCAAAACAAUAAGAUGCAAAAGAUGUAAAAACUGUGGUAAUUGUAUCCAUAAGAUAUACUGCAUUGUAGCUGUCCCAAGUCCCUAAAGCAUAGAUCGUAUUCCUUCUAUCCAAGCGAGUCGGCAUGAAAUUAAACGUCAGCCAUGCACAAGGGCACGAAACAAAUGUAUAAAUUCCCUGUUUUUCAGAAUGAAGGUUGUCUUUACCUUUAAAAACACAUAUUUACCUUUAAUAAUGACAACAUACUAAUUAAGGGAAUUUUAUAAUCUUUAUAAAUUAUAUCUCAAAGUGCCCCUAGUGAAAAUAAGUCACAAAGGUAAAUGGACGUGCCUACCCAUUAAAAAAAUGUAUAGCAUUUUCUCAACACUGUAAUCUUUUAUUCUGUCACUUUUAACGUAUUGAUUAAUAUUCGACUACCACUUUCUAAUUUAUUAUACCUGAUAUGUUUCAAAUUCAUAGAUCUCUUUGUUAUUGAGAGGGAAAAGCCGAAUCGAAAGCAGGUUAAUAACACACAUAUGUGCUCACACACCCACAUCUGUGGGACAGGCGGCAGCUUAAAUAUCAUACUUGUGGCUUUUUAAACAUCGUUAAACAUUGCCUUGCAUUUCACGAGCCAGUCCAGGCUUUGAUUGGUGACUUCUGAUCACUGACUGCAGACACAUGAACAUGACAGUCACCCAAGCACAGGCUGCUGUAAAGACAGCAGGGACUCUCCUUACCAGAGACUUCCCGUCUCUUCUUCCCCCUCUUCGGCUGUUGCCUAGAACCAUCUGUCCUCUCAUAGUACACCGAGGCCUGAAUGAAAAGGUCUGUUUCUCCUUCCUCACUAGCAGAUAAAGCUAUUAGAAAACAUUGAUAGAGGAGUGUGCUUGCUUAGAGACCACAAAGGAGGACAGGUGUGAGCUUCCACUAAUCCCUGGAUGGACCAGAAUCACUGGCUGGAAGCAACAGUGGAUGUAAAGGCAAGCUGGUCCCCUGCAGCCAAGAGGCAAGGAACAGGAGGCCAGAAGCACUUGUGUGGAGGGAAGGAGAACUGAGGUUCAAUAGCAGGAGCUCCAGGACCCCAACUUGCCUGACUCCCGGAAUCUUUAUCCCCCUCCUGUUCAUUUCUACCUGUCUUUCUCUUUUUAGCCCAGUAGUGAUCAAGUACUUGCAUAAACUAAGACGCUGGUCAGUAGCAGAGUUGGAAUCUAUUUAACUGUAUUGCCCUUAGUGUCAAUUACUUUAAAUUUAAUAACGAAAACUGUGAUCAAACUAUUUGUGUUAUACAUAUAGUUUUUUUAACUAAAAGAAAACUAAAUGCAUAUAACUUACAUGCACCAAUCACCUAAAACCAGAGGAAAAAACACAAGUUUCUGCUGAGAUAGAGGUGCCUCAAAAUAUUUUUAAAAAUAAUAUAAAUUAUGUUUCAGAGCUGGCUCUUAAACUGUAAGUACUCAUCACCUAAAGCUUCUGAGUGGUGAAAACAACAAAAUGCAAGCUUGCUCCACUGUGCAUUUCUGCUACUCCCUUAGCUCUUAUUAACAUCCAAGCAGGAACACAAAACGAAAGUCCAGUCUGGAAGGAAACCAGCUUCCAAAAGAACCCACCUCCAUAUCAAGCCUGAAAUUGUGAAUUCUAGAUAAAAAAAAUUAUAAAAUUUUGAACUGGAAAAAAGCUUAAAGAUUCAUUUAUACAUUUAACCAAGAUUUAUUUACAGAUGAACAAUUUUGUACCAGGAAUGAUUUAAGAAAGCAAUGAACUAGAAAGAGGCUAAGCAAACUUUUUUGCACCACAGCAAAUUCAGGAAGAAUAAAAAUGUUUAUAGAACUUACAUGUAACAUUAAAAAUGGACAUAGCCAUAUUGAGCCCCAUGGAAAGACAUACAUAUUUCUAACAGACUGCUUACUUUAUUUAACAGAAGCUUGCCACUACCUUUUGGCUAACAAUAUUAUCAUCUGGGAUAUUUAAGAGGUAAUAGCAAUUUCAUAAAUGGGCGUGGGCAGUUUUAUAAAUGCUCAUCCUGAAAUGAGGUAACGAAUAGGUGGCCUCAUUUCUUCUGCUGGCAAAGUGCUUGGCAUUGAUCCACUCAAUCGAGCUCACAUGGAGAAGAGGAAGCCAAUCUGAGGGGUUGGAGCCUCGUCUCAGGGCACACGGUUAGCAUCCUGCUGGAGGAGAAUGGCCUCCAGUGUCCUAAUGCAUUCCUCUCGUAUUUCAAAUUUGAUUGGCUUCCAUUUUCUGUUAGAUUAUUUCUCAACAAAAACCAGGAGAAAAUGAUGACCCAGUAUCCAGAUUCCAGACACUGGCAACACUAGUGAAGGCGUCGAGGCAGUGAUGCUGGGGGGGGGGAGCAUCGCAGAUGGGGAAGAGGAUGUGCUGUGAGAACAAAGCAGCUGUUUAUCCUUCUGGAUUAUUUUGAGUCAAGUUAUUUAAUUUGACUUAUAAAUAACAUUAAAGUAGGGUAUGAGAUCUUUAUGUUUAUUGAAGGGGGUCUAUGAUUAAAGAGAGCCGAGAAACACUGAGUUAAAGAAAUUUCUAUCCUUAACAAAACAACAUCAAACAAAACACCCCCAGAAAGGACCUGAGGCCGUUGGAGCGAACACCGCAAGGCCUGCCCUUUCUUCAGCUUAGUGCCAACAACUCUGAAUGGCAAGAAGUCAUGCCGGGCACAUCGGGGUCACCUUGCAAGAGCUGUCAUACAUCUUUACAACUUUGAUGUGCUCUCCAAGAUGAGCAAAAAGGAAAAAAAAAUGGAUCUGGAGCAAAAACGGUCACUGUGAAGGUCGUUUUAUAAAAUCAGAUGAAUAGAAAAAGAAUCAAAUAAGUUGGAGAAAAUCGAGGUAUGGUCAAAUGCUGCCUCCCACUCACAAGGCACAGCCCUUUAUUACAAGUAACAGAAAGCUCCUUGGCCCGUGGAUGCCUCUCCUCAUGCGCCUCCUCCUCCAUGACGCCCACUACUGUAUUCUAAAAGCUCGCCCAGCCCAAGUUUGGCAAGACUCUAUGAGGGCACAGAUCUGCUAAUGGCUUCAGAACCUGUGGGUGACUUGAAAGUCACAAAUGUGGGCCCGUACAGUUCAGAUGAUAGCUUAGAACGCAGAAAUCCAAAAAAGAAUGUCACUCCCACUCUAACAAGAAAAAGCCAGACUAUAAAAUCAUAUCUUUUCUUGUAUCCAUCAGAGAACUGUGGUCACAAGGUAACCAAGGGAACUGAAUUCCAAGAGUGACAAGCCCUUCCAGGGAAAGACAGGACGUAGAAACUGUUCCAUGUCUGGCAGACCAUGGGAGGAAGAGGCCACCAUGGAAGCAGGGUUUGUUGAAAGUCAGUCCCAUCCCAGAAGAAACGGAAUGAAUGUCACUCUCUGUGGGUCUUGUUUAACUGCGGCCCUUACUUAAUACUACCAGAGAACUCUGGAGCACAACCAAACAGAUGUGACGCCCAAGAUAUACCGGGAAACUGUCAAAGAUGGCCUGAUGCCCUCUCAAAAUAAAGCUUCAUAAGGGUGUUUCCUCACAUCUAUAGGGAACAAGAUAUCUUAGGAGGAAGAAUUUACUUUUCUCAUUUUUUUAAUCCUUAAAUCUGUCAUCGCAUGGCAUUGAGGGAAAAAUGAUGACAAUCCAGGGGUAGUCAGAAGUCAGAAUGAAGCUUCCAUAGAGAUCCAGAUGCUGGCAAAGCCGCUGCCUUGGGCCACAGACACCAAAGAAAAGGAAGAAUACUAGCUCUUUCAGUCAGAAAUUUUAACAUUUCCACAAUUAUUUUAAAAUUAAAAAUUUUUAAGGAAAAAUGCUUCACUGACAAUUUAUUAUGCAAUCAUAUUAUUAUUAUUGUCUUUCUAUCUUGUCCUGCAGGGAAAACAACUUCUUCCUGGGGCAUUUUUUAAUGCAAUGGUUUAUUUGCAUAUGAAAUUAGUAUGCGUGUAUAAGAACAAUUAGACCAGGAAAACGAAAAAAAAAACCACAAAAUAAUGAAUCAUAAAAAAGGGAACAGCUUUAUACAAAAUAUUCUUUUAAGUUUCAAGCCAUUCAUGAGGCUGUACUAGUCCAGCCCUCAAUGUUGUCUCUUCUCCUACUAAUACAUAUUUAUAGUCUCUACCCUAUAAUUUAACACUUAAUUAUAGUCUUAUUCAGUUCUUUAAUUGUUUCAUGUGGGUUAGCCUUAUCUCCUCAAGUAGAAAGUGAACUUUCUGAGGAGAUGGGCCAUGUCUUACAUUCUACAACCCCUGGCUGGACCGAUGCUGGCAGUCAGAACAGUAACCCCUUUUGAUGAAGUGAUAAUUUAAAUGAUAAAGGAGUCAAUCCAACAGGAGAAUAUAACAUUUGUAAAUAUUU